RNAcentral lists this ribosomal RNA (1194 nucleotides) under human gut metagenome. Its description in RNAcentral is "eukaryotic LSU rRNA". It matches the Rfam family "Eukaryotic large subunit ribosomal RNA", at positions 1790 to 3173 of the family's 3401-position model. The record is from RNAcentral.
CUAUUUAAAUGAUCCAUGAAACGAUAAGUUUAUUUUUUCAAAAAUUAAUUUAAUCGUACCGAUAACCGCAUCAGGUCUCCAAGGUGAGUAGCUUCUGGCCAUUGAGUAAUGGUAAUUUAGGGAAUUCGGCCAAUUAGAGCUGUAACUUCGGGAUAAAGCUUGGCUCUGAUGGAAAUCAGAACCGAUAGUUACAAGGAGAGCCCAACUGUUUAAUAAAAACUUAGUGUCGCGUCAUACCUUUAUAAGUAAUAAACGUGACAUGAAUCCUGCUCAGUGCUGUGUUUGUUAAACUGGAUUAAUCCAUUUAAGCGCCGGUAAAUAGCUGGGGUAACUAUGACUCUUAUCAAAGUAGCGAAAUACCUCGUCACUUAAUUAGUGACCUGCAUGAACGGAGCUAUGAGGUUCUCACUGUCCCAAAUUAUCACUCAGCGAACCAACAGUUGUGGGAACGGGCACAAAUUAUCCAGCGGGGAAAGAAGACCCUGUAGAGCUUCACUUUGGUCUAAUCUUGUAUAGUUUCGUUAGGGGUGCAGUCUAGGUGGGAGAUUUUUAAUCAAAUAUGAGAAACCACUACCCUUUCUGGAAUUAUACUUACUAAAAUUCUUUUCUAAAUUUUAGGAUCGGAUUAGAUAGAAAGUUUGGCUGGGGCGGCACACCUUCGAAAAAGCAGCGAAGGUGUCCUAAGUUAAGCUCAGUAAGGACAGAAAUCUUACGUUGAGGAUAAGGCCAAAAGCUUAAUUUACUGUGCCUUUUUGUACUAGGAUCAGUUUGGAAACAAAGGCCUAACGAUCCCUAAUUAGUCUUAGGUGUGUAAGACUUGGGGUGACAGACAAGUUACCUCCGGGACAACUGGCUUGUGGCUGCUAAGAGAUCAAAUCAACGCAGCUUUUUGAUUCUUCGAUGUCGGCUCUUCCUAUCCUAGUGAUGUACAAGUCACUAAGGGUUGGAUUGUUCACCCGUAUUAGGGAUCGUGAGCUGGGUUUAGACCGUCGUGAGCCAGGUUUGUUUUAUCCUACUGGAUAUAAUUUAGCAUCUUGAUAGUAGUUUGAUUUAGUACGAGAGGAACUGUUGAAUAUGGUCUCUGGUUUGGGAAUUUUAUGAAAAUAAAAGUUCCAAAGCUACGCCGUCUGAGAUAAUGGCUGAAGGCCUCUUAAGCCAGAAACUCAUCUAAAAAUAGAUGCUUUAAACUAUUUA